RNAcentral lists this long non-coding RNA (1025 nucleotides) under Homo sapiens (human). RNAcentral describes it as "HSALNT0180335". The record is from RNAcentral. Lineage: Eukaryota; Metazoa; Chordata; Mammalia; Primates; Hominidae.
CUGGAAACCUCUUGGCUUCAGCUGCAAGUUUUAGAGAUCAGGCACCUAGGUUUUACCUAUAAAUGGCUCAUGACUGGUGGUCUUUCUUGACCCUUACAUAGAUAUUCACCUCAGGUUUUCCCCUUUCACAAAGAAUGAGAUCUGCCUUUUGUCAUCAACCAGAAGUGAUCUAGAUGGAAAAAAUCUGGCAAUGGCUGCCUCUUACUAUUCUUAUUGGAAAAACUGGCUUUGCUGAUUGAGGUAACCCACUCAUCCUUGUUCCUUCCCUUCCCUGAAAAGAUAGCAAUGAGCCUUGGAGACUUGAGGAAUGUGGCAUGAUGUUUGGGCUCAUGGGCAGCAAAACUAGAAAGAAGAGUGGAACCAAAUGAAUCUUGGAUGGUGGUGUUCAUCACUUGUCCUGAGUACUACACAUGUACAUUUUAGUUGCUCUUUUCAGUCCUCAUCUUUGUGUCCUUCUUUUUUCAGGAUUUGAAGACCUGUUGUGGCAGCAGCAAGCCAGUCUCAUGCUGCAUGGAUGGGUAAAGACUAUAUGUGAAAGUCCUUCUGCUCUAGUAUUGGUUGAUUCUCAGUGAACAAUCCUGACAACCACGAAGGAACUCACAGUGGACUGCCCAGGGUUGUCUGGAACAUUGUGGGGAUCCAGCACCUUGGGGCCAGCAUCUGCCCUCUGAGUCCCUCCAACUUCUUCGUGGUUGGAGACAACUGGGUGACUCUCCCUUGAAUCUCAGAUCUCCUACUUUGUUUCUGGUCCUGAGUUUUAUUCAUCUAGUUGUUUUGACUCCUUGACAAAGAGGUAAGUUCUUCCUUGAGAUAUUUUGUUUCUCCAGAAGGGAAAUUUUCCUAGUUGAAAGUUACUAGGAAGAAAUGGCUGCAUGUAUAACACACAUGGAAACUGUACUGCCAAGUAACUCCCUAGAUGGGAGGAGUUUACCAAAGGAGAUGAGGGUUGAAAAAUUCCACCUUUGACACAAUAUUCGUUAUUUGGGUGAUGAGUAUACUUGAAGGACAAACCUCAUCAUUAAGCA